CCCUUACGAUGGUCGCUCCAUCUUCACGCCGGAUCGAUGUUCAUGUAUAGGUCCAGAGUCGUCGGUACUAGCUGUACUCGUCGUGCCACUUUUAGCAUUGUACUCGUCGUCUCGUACACCACCCUCCUCAGUUUGUUCGUGACCUCAUCAUAUUACUCACCAUCACCAUCACCAUCAAGCGAUUAGCGCUUUCCCUUUAGAAAAGUCCCGAACUUUGUGCGGCACUCGUCUGGCCCAUGACUAACCAAAUAUGUCCGUGGAGUGGAAGAUCCAAUCGGAAGGCUAGUCCGUGAUUCUGUUUGCCGAAGAAUCUAGCUGAGGAGACCACUCAUCACUGUAUUUUUAAAGGUUUAUGAUGACCGGCCUUAGGCCCGUCUGCUACUACUAUCAUUCUUCCAACCCCCUCGAGUCGAGUCGAGAGGAGCCUGGCACGGCACGAGCCGAGUUGGUGCCAAGUGCCGCCCGACUCCUUGUCGCGGCCUAGCCACAGCCGCUUGUGCGGCCGGUGGGUCAUCCUGGGGUCCAGCGUCGGGCUGCCGGUGAGCUUGCCCGAGCCCAGGCGGUCGAGGAAGGGCGGCCGGAGCAGGCGGUGCGGCUCGGGCUCGCGGUGGCUGCCCACUAGCCACUUUCGGUCCGGGGGCAAAGACAGUCGGCGCCCACCGUGCAGCCCGAGCGGCCGGCACUUUCGCUUCGGGGGCAGAGGCAGGCGGCGCCCACCGCGCAGUCCGAGCGGCCGGCACUCUCACUUCGUGGGAAGGAAGCGCCCACCGCGCAGCCCGAGCGGCCGACACUUUCGCUUUGUGGGCAGGCGGCAUCCCCGACGCCGCCCUAGGAGUCGACGACACUGCAGGAGCCACCGGCGCCGGAGGAAGCAGCAGCGCCGCUGCCGCCGACUCCGCAGCCGCGGCCCGAGUCGGAGCCCGCGGCCCCCGCGCCGGCCGCGCUGCGCCGCCGCGAACCUCAAGAACCGCGCGAACCCCGACCUCCUGCUCCUGCUGCUGCUCCUCCUCGAGAACGCGCUCGGCGGCGGCUGCCCCUGCAACGCCUCCCACGGCGGGAACCAGGUCAUCGCCGCCGUCCUGAACGUCAUCACCGCGCCGACCCUCCACAACAUCAACAACAUCAUCGUCUUGAACCACAGGGACCUGAGCGUCGCGCCCGUCCCCAGCGGCACGCGGAGGGGGAGGAGGCGGCGGCGGCGGGGGUGGAGGCGGACGCGCCAGCAGCUGCCGCGGCCGCUUGCCGGCGGCGGGCCCGAGGACGUACGGUGGAUGGUUGCUCUCGUUUCGACCGAGGCUAGCCAGCCGCCACCUCCCUUCCUUUCCUUGCCUGCCUGCUCCGCAAACCAAACACAUCGAUCGCUCGCGCUUGCACGCACCCGCCACGCCGCCCCACCCAGAAUUCCCCCGCCCGGCCACCUCGUCCAGGUCGGCAGGUAGAGUUCACCUCGUCACAAAAUGCCACGCCGCCGUAAACUGCCACGCCGGCGUACGCACGCACUCCACCGCGGCUGACAACCCCGCCACACCGCCCCCGCGGUGGCGGUGGAAACAAACUGGGCGCCGUGUCGCGGGCCGCCGUUGGUGGCGCGCCCGCAUGCCCGGAUCAUGCUGCAUCAUAUGGUGGUGCUCGAUG
Molecule: ribosomal RNA, 1635 nt
Filed under: Triticum aestivum (bread wheat)
Lineage: Eukaryota; Viridiplantae; Streptophyta; Magnoliopsida; Poales; Poaceae
Description: partial small subunit ribosomal RNA
Source: RNAcentral